This 394-nucleotide ribosomal RNA is filed under the name uncultured bacterium. RNAcentral's name for it is "partial 16S ribosomal RNA". It matches the Rfam family "Bacterial small subunit ribosomal RNA", at positions 523 to 918 of the family's 1533-position model. The record is from RNAcentral.
AUACGUAGGGAGCGAGCGUUGUCCGGAAUUACUGGGUGUAAAGGGAGCGUAGGCGGGAAGGCAAGUUGGAUGUGAAAACUGCGGGCUCAACCGACAGACUGCAUUCAAAACUGUUUUUCUUGCGUGAAGUAGAGGCAAGCGGAAUUCCUAGUGUAGCGGUGAAAUGCGUAGAUAUUAGGAGGAACACCAGUGGCGAAGGCGGCUUGCUGGGCUUUUACUGACGCUGAGGCUCGAAAGUGUGGGGAGCAAACAGGAUUAGAUACCCUGGUAGUCCACACCGUAAACGAUGAUUACUAGGUGUGGGGGCGUCAAGCUUCCGUGCCGGAGUUAACACAAUAAGUAAUCCACCUGGGGAGUACGGCCGCAAGGUUGAAACUCAAAUGAAUUGACGGGG